RNAcentral lists this transfer RNA (53 nucleotides) under Flammeovirgaceae bacterium. RNAcentral describes it as "tRNA-OTHER". The record is from RNAcentral. Lineage: Bacteria; Pseudomonadati; Bacteroidota; Cytophagia; Cytophagales; Flammeovirgaceae. RNAcentral also lists the same sequence under 3 other names.
AGCUCAGCCGGUUAGAGCAACAAGCCAAAAUGUGGGUUCGAAUCCCACCCGAG